RNAcentral lists this ribosomal RNA (253 nucleotides) under uncultured bacterium. RNAcentral's name for it is "partial 16S ribosomal RNA". It matches the Rfam family "Bacterial small subunit ribosomal RNA", at positions 524 to 776 of the family's 1533-position model. The record is from RNAcentral.
GACAGAGGGUGCAAACGUUGUUCGGAAUUACUGGGCGUAAAGCGCGUGUAGGCGGCUAAGUAAGUCGGGCGUGAAAUCCCACGGCUCAACCGUGGAAGUGCACUCGAAACUGCAUAGCUAGAGUCCUGGAGAGGAAGGUGGAAUGCUUGGUGUAGAGGUGAAAUUCGUAGAUAUCAAGCGGAACACCGGUGGCGAAGGCGGCCUUCUGGACAGUGACUGACGCUGAGGCACGAAAGCGUGGGGAGCAAACAGG